GCUUACGGCCACACCGCCUGGUUCCACGCCCGAUCUCGUUUGAUCACGGAAGCUAAGAUAGGGUGGGCCAGGUUAGUACUUGGAUGGGAGACCUGGGAAUACCAGGUGCUGUAAGCU
RNAcentral lists this ribosomal RNA (117 nucleotides) under Scophthalmus maximus (turbot). Lineage: Eukaryota; Metazoa; Chordata; Actinopteri; Pleuronectiformes; Scophthalmidae. The record is from RNAcentral.